Molecule: non-coding RNA, 1465 nt
Organism: Lonchura striata (white-rumped munia)
Lineage: Eukaryota; Metazoa; Chordata; Aves; Passeriformes; Estrildidae
Source: RefSeq, a predicted model, not a curated record
CGCCAUGUUCCGGAGCCUGCUGGUGGCGGCGGCGCAGCGGCCGCAGGGCCCGGCCGGGCCCCCCCGCGCCGCCCCCGGCGCCGCGGCCGAGGCGCUGGAGGCGCAGUUCAGCUGCCCCAUCUGCCUCGAGGUUUUCCACCGCGCCGUCGGCAUCGCGGGCUGCGGCCACACGUUUUGUGGGGAAUGCCUGCAGCCCUGCCUGCAGGUGCCCUCCCCGCUGUGCCCGCUCUGCCGUGUGCCCUUCGAUCCCAAAAAGGUGGAGAAGGCUUCCAGCCUGGAGAAGCAGCUCUCGUCCUACAAGGCUCCCUGCAGAGGCUGCAGCAAGAAGGUGACCCUGGCCAAAAUGCGCUCUCACGUCUCGUCCUGCGCCAAGGUGCAGGAGCAGAUGGCCAACUGCCCCAAGUUUGUUCCAGUUGUCCCCACAUCCCAGCCUAUUCCCAGCAACAUUCCCAACCGCUCCACGUUCGUGUGUCCGUACUGCGGCGCGCGGAACCUGGACCAGCAGGAGCUGCUGAAACACUGCAUGGAGAACCACCGCAACGACCCCAACAGAGUGGUGUGCCCGGUGUGCUCGGCCAUGCCCUGGGGGGAUCCCAGCUACAAGAGUGCCAACUUCCUGCAGCACCUGCUCCACAGGCACAAGUUCUCCUACGACACCUUCGUGGAUUACAACAUCGACGAGGAGGCGGCGUUGCAGGCAGCCCUGGCUCUGUCCCUCUCUGAGAACUGAGGCUGAUCCCUCUCCCUGCCCUGGCUCCUUCUGGACACUGCAGGAACCCUCCGGAGCCCCACUCUGUUCCCACUGCAAUUCCCACCUUGUUUGAGAAGGUGGAGGAGCCUCUUCAGUUGUCACAAGAUGUCAGGCUGUCCUGACCCCCGUGCUGGAGGCUGGAGCUGCCUCCUUCAGCUGGAUCCCAGGAUGAGACUGAGCAAUGCUUCAGAGGAGCCCUGGAGGAUGGCAUCCAGCACCCAGGGAAACCUCCCCUUCCUCGUUUUGUACCGGCUCCUGGGACACCAAAUCCUCGCCUUUUUCUACACGAAGCGAAGCCUUUUCCACGUUUUCUAGAGCGGGGUCAGAAGCUGUUCCCCUUCACUCUGCAAUAUCUGCCACCCUGGACAAGAAUAUUUUUAUGGAACAUGAUGAAGAAAGUUUUUAUUUUUUACACAGAUAACCCAAGCAAACCAACACGUGGAUUUGGAACGGGGCAGGAGCUGGAUCCCGGAGCAGCGGGUCGGACUCUGAGGUGGGGGAAGUGCAGGGAUCUUCCUGGGCCUUCCCUGGAUAUUUCUGGGCCUUCCCUGGAUCUCUCUGGGCCUUCCCUGGAUCUCUCUGGGCCUUCCCUGGAUCUCUCUGGGCCUUCCCUGGAUCUCUCUGGGCCUCCCCUGGAUCUCUCUGGGCCUUUCCUGGAUCUCUCUGAGCCUUUCCUGGAUCUCUCUGGGCCUUUCCUGGAUCUCUCUGAGCCUU